Long non-coding RNA from Monodelphis domestica (gray short-tailed opossum), 1631 nucleotides. Lineage: Eukaryota; Metazoa; Chordata; Mammalia; Didelphimorphia; Didelphidae. The record is from Ensembl.
AAAAUGGAAGAUAAGAAUUUUUUUAAAGAGAGAUUAAACUGCUUACUCAAGGUCACAGAGGUAAUAACUGUUGGAGAAGAGAUAAAAAACUAUAUCUUCUCACUCAAGACUAGGACUCUUUUCUUAAAACAUUAAUUGCCUGCUCUGAUUCAUACUACCUCUAUUUUCUUCUUCAAUUCAUAAAAGGAAAGAAUUAGGUCUAGAUUAUUUAGACAUUAUGACAUAAAUUUGGAGCUAAACCUAGAAAAUCAUAUUUUUCUUUCUAAAUUAAGAGGUCUCUCUCAAAAGAUUGGAUUUUUAAAGCAUGUUAUUGUAUGGAUGUCUUGGUAUUCUUUGAUUUUCAGGCACUAUCCUAGGGAAGACCUCAGGAGAGGACAGAACUCAUCCAAAUCUCUACUUAAAAUUCAACCCCUCCCUAAAGCAUUCAGGGAGGCACUUGAGGUUGUUGGAGCCCAGAGAGGAAGGAAGCAGGAAAAAGGGUAAAUCAACAAAAGAACAGAGCUUCUGUAUUGGUCUUUAUUUCUAAAAUGUUUCCUGCAUUGGUCAGACCACAUCUAUAUAGGAUAAGAGGAUAUUAAAAUUUUGAACUGGAAGGAAACAGAUUAUCUACAUCAAUCUCAUUUUAAAGUCAGAAUUCUCCAAAUUCAGAGCUUCAUGAAAUAUUUUUGUCAUCAACUUCAUAAAAUAUUAGAAGUAUAUAUAUAUAUACAUAUAUAUAUAUCUGCAGUAAACUCAUUUCAGACAUGGAUAAGAAUCUUUUGAGCCAACAACAUCCUACUGGACCACGUGCGUGUGCUCUGCUUGGACAUGCCUAGAGAUGCCCAGGAUUAUAUGAUUUGCCAUCCAAGAAUACAUCAGAUCCCAAAGUGAACCGGGCAGAGAAUGUUAGCAUCUCGAGUACUGGUCCAAGAAAGAUGUGUCUUCGUUUUUUGCAUCCCUGACAUAUAUCACUUGUUGGAGCACUCUCCAUUUUAUGGAGAUCAGAAAAAAUCUGGAGUGGAUCCCAAGAUGGUUCAGUUACUAAUGAUGGUGGCCAUUGAUGAGAACUGGACUUGGGCUUUUCUUGGUUAUUGAGACUGUGGCUCUGAGAUCCCACCUAUAUUUAGAAAAUGCAAAUUUCCCUUAGGGCAUGGACUGUUAUCCCAUCUAGAAGCUUUGCAGAAGAAUCAGAGGAUGGAGGACACUGAAUAGAAGACAAACCAAUGAGCCUAGACCUUAUGAAGAGGCAUUAGUGUAUUUAAAUGGUAGAAUUCCCAUGUGAAAGAAAUUGGGGAUUCUGCUUCCAGCACUAGUAAUGAAGUAUGAAAGUGCCUUGGGGAGAUUAGAAGCAUGUGCAGAUGUCCCCUAACUAAUUCCAGUCUGCUAAUCAUGUGGAGGAGUUUCUUUGAUUAGCUGCAGAACCAUAUCUUAGGGUACACCUAAACAGCAUUUGGCUGACCAGAACUUCAUCCUUCUAUUCAACCUGUUGGUGUUCUAAUGGGUGAAGAGAAACACUGAUGUAAGAUAAGAGGUCUUGGGUCCUCCUCAUAUAAGGCUCACAUGUGACCUGUGAGUAUGGGCUUUGAUUCUUUGUCUUACAUUUGUCCUUUCAUUUUAAUAAAUGAGUUUGGAGGCUAUGAUUUUGUGAGUUU